GUGCUCGCUUUGGCAGCACAUACACUAAAACUGGAAUGACAGAGAAGAUUAGCACAGCCCUCGCACAAGGGUGACAUGGACAUUUGUGAAGCAUUCCAUAUUUUU
Small nuclear RNA from Ochotona princeps (American pika), 105 nucleotides. Lineage: Eukaryota; Metazoa; Chordata; Mammalia; Lagomorpha; Ochotonidae. The record is from RefSeq and is a predicted model, not a curated record.